AGAAUUCUGAGAUGUUCGUCACGUCCAACAUGUGUUGACCGAACAAUUAAUAAUACCUUGGGAUCCAAACUGACUCAAGCAAAUAACAAGCCUUUUCACUUGGUAGUUAGACGUUUGACAGUGGAGCCCACCUGCUAAAUGCGGGUUCAAUACAACCUGGACGUAUAAACGGCAUCACCGGAUUUCUU
Molecule: non-coding RNA, 188 nt
Filed under: Carnobacterium iners
Lineage: Bacteria; Bacillati; Bacillota; Bacilli; Lactobacillales; Carnobacteriaceae
Description: Carnobacterium sp. LMG 26642 6S / SsrS RNA
Rfam family: 6S / SsrS RNA
About the family: E. coli 6S RNA was the first non coding RNA to be sequenced, but its function was unknown until recently. It consists of 184 nucleotides that fold into an extended hairpin structure with a large single-stranded internal bulge. The 6S RNA specifically associates with RNA polymerase holoenzyme containing the sigma70 specificity factor.
Source: Rfam by way of RNAcentral